GUCCGAGCGCCGCCCAGCGCACAGCUACCCCGGAGGGGCGGCUCCUUGGCCAGGGAAGGAGGCGGGAUCUGCUUGCCAGCGGGCGUCUCCGCUUAGCGCUCUCUCCAGAAACCGCUGGGCAGUCUCCUGGGUGAGCGCCAGACGCCUGGGGUCCGUUUGCCGCCUGCUGAGACUAGACAAGGACCCCGGGAGGGCGACGUUGGGGGAGAGGGCUACGGAUGGAGGUCCCGCCGCGCUUGGGCCGGGUCCGGAGCCACCAGGACGCACAGCGGGUUUCCCUCAUUCUCAGUCAGGUGGUUGAGUUAUCCAAGCCUUCAUAACCAGAGGGUCUGAGCACUUGUUGGACUGUGCUUACUGCAGCUUCUCAUUUACAAUUACCACUGCACCUGAGAGUACCAAGAGAUUCCUGAGCCAGAGAUUACGAUUUCCAACUUCCAGCUCCUCAAGAUGGAGAAACAGAGGGAAGAAGAGACUUGGAAUCACUCUGUCCUGGCUGUGGGUCUAUGAAAAAGAAUGUGGCCUACUGCUAAAUACAUUGAUUUUGAAGCUAGAUAGCUCUGGUUUUGGGGAGCAAGUGAUUUGAUCUCUCAGAGACUCAGCUACUUCAUCAGUAAACAGAGAUUACCAUAUCCACCAGUAAUGGCUAUAGGAGCAGUAAUAGGGAUGAUAUAGGUGAAAGCACUGAUCACUGAAUGAUUCCAAAGACAGGUGCAGAGAGGUUCAGGCAUCAGACAGGCUACCUGGAUCCAAAUCCCAGCUCCAUCAUUUACUACUUUCAUGGCCUUUACAAACCACUAAACUUCUCUCUGAGCUUCAAUUUUCCCAUCUGUAACAUGGGAACUAAUAAAAUGAAACCUUCCUAAUAAAGUUGCCAGGAAGAUUCAUUGAGACAUUGAAUGUAAAGUAUUUAACUCAAUAUAGAGCACAGGGGAGCACCAAAUAAAAUUCAGGUGUUACAUUUUUAAGCACGUGUUCACCAAGGCUCCCAAUUCAGGUGGUGAGGAUUCUAUGAUGAUCAAUUCCUCCUAAGGUAUUUGUAAAAUGACCCACCAGAUUACCAACCAUUCCUGUAUUUCCAGAACCCUUUGGAGUCCUUUAUGUAACCUGGGAGAGCUGUUAUUCUUUUUUCUUUUUGGUAGAAGUGAAAUCCUGCAGGAAAACUUGCUCCAUUUUGGUUAUUUCUGUUAUAUCACAAGGUGGGCUGGAUAGCAAGUUUUGGAAGCACUGAACACCCACACGGAGCUGGCUCCUCUCAGGCGGGGAGGCAUCUUCACUAAGGAGAGGUGCAGUCUGUGUCCCCGUCCUUGACUCUGAGAAUCCCUGUGAUCAACAGAAUGCAGAAAAGUGACACUGCAUGGCUUCUGAGGCUAGGUCCAGAAAAGGUGAUGCAGCUUCCCCCUUUGCGCUGAAAUGCAGUGCUUGGACCUCAGAGCUAUUGACUAAGAAGUCCAUGCACCCUGAGCUUCUCAUGCUGGGGAAGCCACGUGUAGGCAUUCAGUUCCCAGCCCAGCUGAGCUCCAUCCUGGCUGCAACAAUUGUUCUCAUGAGGAAGCCAUCUUGGACACUCAGCUCCAUGGAGCCUCCACGAGUCGCCAGCCCCAACUGACAUCUGUCUCACUGCAACCACAGAAGAGCCUCCAACCAAGAACUGCACAGCUGAACCCUUUCUAAAUUCUUGAUCUCCAAAAAGCCAUGCACAAAAUAAAAUGGUUGUUUUGAGCCACUAAACUCUGGAACCUCGAGUAGGGGAGAAGUUCCUUUGGUGUCUGUUCCCCUGUAUUUACCUGGGUAACUGAGAAUCA
RNAcentral lists this long non-coding RNA (1802 nucleotides) under Homo sapiens (human). RNAcentral's name for it is "HSALNT0095870". Lineage: Eukaryota; Metazoa; Chordata; Mammalia; Primates; Hominidae. The record is from RNAcentral.